UGGGAAUCCUUGUUGUAAAAAUACAUUUCA
RNAcentral lists this non-coding RNA (30 nucleotides) under Rattus norvegicus (Norway rat). Lineage: Eukaryota; Metazoa; Chordata; Mammalia; Rodentia; Muridae. The record is from RNAcentral.